This 611-nucleotide ribosomal RNA is filed under the name uncultured bacterium. Its description in RNAcentral is "bacterial SSU rRNA". It matches the Rfam family "Bacterial small subunit ribosomal RNA", at positions 232 to 859 of the family's 1533-position model. The record is from RNAcentral.
UGCGGCGGAUUAGGUAGUUGGUGGGGUAACGGCCUACCAAGCCGAUGAUCCGUAGGGGGCGUGAGAGCGUGGCCCCCCACACUGGCACUGAGACACGGGCCAGACUCCUACGGGAGGCAGCAGUGAGGAAUAUUGCACAAUGGGCGCAAGCCUGAUGCAGCAACGCCGCGUGAGGGACGAAGGCCUUCGGGUUGUAAACCUCUUUUCUGAGGGACGAGGAAGGACGGUACCUCAGGAAUAAGUCUCGGCUAACUACGUGCCAGCAGCCGCGGUAAAAUGUAGGAGGCGAGCGUUAUCCGGAUUUACUGGGCGUAAAGCGUACGCAGGUGGCUUCGUGAGUCGGACAUGAAAGCUCCCGGCUUAACUGGGAGAGGUUGUUCGAUACUGCGAGGCUUGAGGUUGGGAGAGGGACGUGGAAUUCCCGGUGUAGUGGUGGAAUGCGUAGAUAUCGGGAGGAACACCAGUGGCGCAAGCGGCGUCCUGGCCCACACCUGACGCUGAGGUACGAAAGCGUGGGUAGCAAACAGGAUUAGAUACCCUGGUAGUCCACGCUGUAAACGAUGUCAACUGGGUGUCGGUAGUUUUACACUAUCGGUGCCGAAGCUAACGCG